CAGGCCUAACACAUGCAAGUCGAACGAGAAGCUAACCUCUGAUUCCUUCGGGAUGAUGAGGUUAGCAGAAAGUGGCGAACGGGUGAGUAACGCGUGGGUAAUCUACCCUGUUUAGUGGGGGAUAACCCUCCGAAAGGAGGGCUAAUACCGCAUAAGGUCUUCUCCUCAUUAGGAGAAGAAGAUUAAAGAUGGCCUCUAUACUAUGCUAUCGCUUCAGGAUGAGCCUGCGUCCUAUUAGUUAGUUGGUGGGGUAAUGGCCUACCAAGACCACAAUGGGUAGCCGGUCUGAGAGGAUGUACGGCCACACUGGGACUGAGAUACGGCCCAGACUCCUACGGGAGGCAGCAGUGGGGAAUAUUGCGCAAUGGGGGAAACCCUGACGCAGCGACGCCGCGUGGAUGAUGAAGGCCUUUGGGUUGUAAAAUCCUGUUCUGGGGGAAGAAAGCUUAAGGGUCCAAUAAACCUUUAAGCUUGACGGUACCCCAAGAGAAAGCUCCGGCUAAUUAUGUGCCAGCAGCCGCGGUAAUACAUAAGGAGCAAGCGUUAUCCGGAAUUAUUGGGCGUAAAGAGCUCGUAGGCGGUCUUAAAAGUCAGGUGUGAAAUUAUCAGGCUCAACCUGAUAAGGUCAUCUGAAACUUUAAGACUUGAGGAUAGAAGAGGAAAGUGGAAUUCCCGGU
RNAcentral lists this ribosomal RNA (677 nucleotides) under uncultured bacterium. RNAcentral describes it as "bacterial SSU rRNA". It matches the Rfam family "Bacterial small subunit ribosomal RNA", at positions 43 to 674 of the family's 1533-position model. The record is from RNAcentral.